AGUUGUAAUUUGUAGAGGAUGUUUUUGGUGCGGUAUCUUCCGAGUUCCUUGGAACAGGACGCCUUAGAGGGUGAGAGCCCCGUACGGUUGAAUGCCUAGCCUUUGUAAAACUCCUUCGACGAGUCGAGUAGUUUGGGAAUGCUGCUCUAAAUGGGAGGUAAAUUUCUUCUAAAGCUAAAUACUGGCCAGAGACCGAUAGCGCACAAGUAGAGUGAUCGAAAGAUGAAAAGCACUUUGAAAAGAGGGUUAAAUAGCACGUGAAAUUGUUGAAAGGGAAGGAUUUAUGACCAGACUUUUUCUGGGCGGAUCAUCCGGUGUUCUCACCGGUGCACUUCGCUCAGUUUAGGCCAGCAUCGAUUUUCGGUGGGGGAUAAAAGCUUUAGGAAUGUGGCUCCUCCGGGAGUGUUAUAGCCUAUUGUAUAAUACCCUACUGGGGAUCGAGGUACGCGCUUCUGCNAGGAUGCUGGCGUAAUG
RNAcentral lists this ribosomal RNA (474 nucleotides) under soil fungal sp. DM2-011. Its description in RNAcentral is "eukaryotic LSU rRNA". It matches the Rfam family "Eukaryotic large subunit ribosomal RNA", at positions 141 to 636 of the family's 3401-position model. The record is from RNAcentral. Lineage: Eukaryota; Fungi.